UGUCCUAGAUAAACCAAUUAUUAAUCAAUGAUUAAGUAUCUAAUGUUAGACCCGAAGCCUAGUGAUCUUACCAUGAUCAGGGUUAUAAAGGCCCGAACGGGUUAUCGUUGUAAAGAUAUCCGAUGAAUUGUGGUAAGUUAGUGAAAGACAAAACUGACUAGGAUAGCUGGUUUUCUGCGAAACCUAUAUAAGUAGGUAAUGUAAAUAACAUCAUAGCAGGUACAGAACUGUGAUCUCGGACAAAUUAUCUUGUUUUCUUAAGGAUAGCAAGAUGGUUUUGUAUACAUCGGGGAAUCGUGAAGAUUUUAUCGGCGAGAAUUUGCUCUCGGAAGGGCAAUGAUGGAUUUUGCAUAAUCGGACAUAGUACGAUAAGGUUGUAUGUCUAAAGGGAAACAGCCCAGAACAAGAGUUAAAGGUUCCAAAAUUAUUGUUAAGUGAAAAUAAGGAAGUUUUCUUCAAAUACAACCAGGAAAUAGGCUUAGAAGCGGCCAUUUUUUGAAGACCUCGUAACAGAGCACUGGUUUAACAUUAAAAGUUGAAAGCACCGAAAAUUUAACGGAUCUAAAACAAUAUACCGAAACCUUGUCUAUAAAUAAAUAUAUUUUAAGAAGUAUGAAAUAUUUUUAUUUAUGGGGUAGCAGAACGUU
Molecule: ribosomal RNA, 647 nt
Filed under: Pseudopedinella elastica
Lineage: Eukaryota; Dictyochophyceae; Pedinellales
Description: partial Bacterial large subunit ribosomal RNA
Rfam family: Bacterial large subunit ribosomal RNA
Source: RNAcentral